AGGGCCGCACCCAUGGCAUAUGGAAGUUCCCAGGCUAGUGGUCAAAUCAGAACUACAGCUGUUGGCCUAUGCCACAGUCACAGCCAUGCGGGAUCCAAGCCGCGUCUGUGACCUACACCACAGCUCAUGGCAAGGUGGGAUCCUUAACCCACGGAGCGAGGCCAGGGACCAAACCUGUGUCCUCAUGGAUCCUAGUUGGGUUCGUUACCGCUGAGCCACCAUGGAAACUCCUGAUAGUAAGAAUUUUGACAAAAAAAUUUUUUGGCCACGCCCAUGGCAUGUGGAAGUUCCCAGGCCAGGGAUCAAACCCAGAUCCUGCAGUACCAUACAAAAUGAAGACUGCCUAUACUGACUCAUGCUGAGCCCCUCCUUUCUUGAGAAAGAGCAAAAGAUUACCCAUUCUAGAAUGGGUGCUCCAUCUUUGGCAGGGACUGGGUCAGUCAUAUUCAUCAACGUAUCCUGCCUCAACCACUAGGCAGUGUUUGUCCAGAUCAGGACAUUGCUAAUAGCUGUUUGAAUGAAUGAAUGGACUCAUCCUGAGUGGGUGACAGAAAGGAGUCAUUUAGUUAAAAGGCAAGAUGUGCGAAGGGUACAAACUCACAAUGGAAAUAGGAGAAUUAUUACUUGGUUUGGGGUUACCAAGAAGGCUCAGCUUCUCGAAUCUCACCUGCCUCUACUGCCAAAGUGAACUCUGCCUAAAGUUGUGAAUAAUUAUAUCACGAAUGGCAUUCUGGACAAGAAUUUUGGUCUAGAAUGUAUAGUGGAAAACAAUUAACAGGAAGAAUGAAAAAAAAACCCCACACAAUGCUUUGAAAUUAAUGUGUAACAUAAGAUUGAGAUGCAAUUAUAAAUAUGGAGGAAAGAUGAGGGAAAGUUCAGCAAACAGCAGCAGGUUAAUUUCAAGUUGAAUGGUGAAAUAAGUGACGGGAUAAUUGGUUAUCUACUUCUUUUAAGCUAUGGGGGAUUUAACUAAUUCCAUUAUUUUGCACAGCAGAAAGAGUUGAUAAAGUCAUGGAUUGUUCUUCCAUGGAUUUCCUGUGUAUAGGCUUUGAAAUUUAUUUAUUUUUUAAUUAAAAACUUUAAUACAAUUUUAAAAGGAUACUUUUCAGGCUCUGACAUUUAAAAGUGAGAGGGAUAGGGCAGGGAAUAGAAAGAAUAAAAAGUAUCCAACUUAGUGAUAUUCCAGUUGUUAUGAAUAAAAAUUCAGUUCAAAAGGUAAGAUUCCAACUCUUUGAUCUUUCAAAGCUGAGGAGCUAUUUCUCCAAUCUGACUUUAAAGUUUUAUCGAGUUUUUGGACUGCCAGAGGGGAAACGAGCACUGAAAUCCAUAAAGGCAAACUGAAAACUAGUCUCAGACAGAAAUCCACACACACACACACACACCCCAUUAUCUACUCCAACACCUCUCCUGCACCUUUAUACAUCCAAACCUCUACAACACCCAAACAUACACACGUACACAUCCCCAAAUCAACCUGUUUCACAGCAGAGAAAAAUCAGGUUAGAGGAGGAAUCAUGUAAUAGCCAUGUGUUUUGAUCCCUGUGAAGAUUACUACAUGUUUUGAAGCGAUAAGGAAUCAUUGUAACAUAGCUGAUUUGCUUUUUUUUUUUCAAUUUCAAAAACGGUUAACCACAAUUACAAAUGGUGAUGAAGAGAACAAAUCUCUCCACUGCCAAAUUAAGAGUAAUCCAGGAGGAAAAAAUUACAGCAACAUC
RNAcentral lists this long non-coding RNA (1715 nucleotides) under Sus scrofa (pig). Its description in RNAcentral is "lncRNA (ENSSSCG00040067863.1)". The record is from RNAcentral. Lineage: Eukaryota; Metazoa; Chordata; Mammalia; Artiodactyla; Suidae.